GCAAAUUCGGGGCCGGCGGCCGGGGUAAAGCGAAGGGGGCUAGGGUUGCUGGGAAUCACUGGGCGUAAAGCGCACGUAGGCGGCUUUUUAAGUCAGGGGUGAAAUCCUGGAGCUCAACUCCAGAACUGCCUUUGAUACUGAGAAGCUUGAGUCCGGGAGAGGUGAGUGGAACUGCGAGUGUAGAGGUGAAAUUCGUAGAUAUUCGCAAGAACACCAGUGGCGAAGGCGGCUCACUGGCCCGGUACUGACGCUGAGGUGCGAAAGCGUGGGGAGCAAACAGGAUUAGAUACCCUUGUAGUC
This 300-nucleotide ribosomal RNA is filed under the name uncultured Bacillus sp. RNAcentral's name for it is "bacterial SSU rRNA". It matches the Rfam family "Bacterial small subunit ribosomal RNA", at positions 496 to 795 of the family's 1533-position model. The record is from RNAcentral. Lineage: Bacteria; Bacillati; Bacillota; Bacilli; Caryophanales; Bacillaceae.